GUCCACGCCCGUAAACGAUGAUUACUCGUUUUUGGGUUUAAUUACUCAGAGGCUAAGCGAAAGUGAUAAGUAAUCCACCUGGGGAGUACGUCCGCAAGGAUGAAACUCAAAAGGAAUUGACGGGGGCCCGCACAAGCGGAGGAUCAUGUGGUUUAAUUCGAUGAUACGCGAGGAACCUUACCAGGGCUUAAAUGGGGAUUGACCGUUUUGGAAACAGAACUUUCGCAAGACAAUUUUCAAGGUGCUGCAUGGUUGUCGU
This 259-nucleotide ribosomal RNA is filed under the name uncultured bacterium. Its description in RNAcentral is "partial 16S ribosomal RNA". It matches the Rfam family "Bacterial small subunit ribosomal RNA", at positions 793 to 1055 of the family's 1533-position model. The record is from RNAcentral.